GUGGGGAAUAUUGGACAAUGGGCGAAAGCCUGAUCCAGCAAUGCCGCGUGAGUGAUGAAGGCCUUAGGGUUGUAAAGCUCUUUUACCCGGGAAGAUAAUGACUGUACCGGGAGAAUAAGCCCCGGCUAACUCCGUGCCAGCAGCCGCGGUAAUACGGAGGGGGCUAGCGUUAUUCGGAAUUACUGGGCGUAAAGCGUACGUAGGCGGUGGUUCAAGUCAGAGGUGAAAGCCCGGAGCUCAACUCCGGAACUGCCUUUGAAACUAGAUCGCUAGAACAUCGGAGAGGUAAGUGGAAUUCCGAGUGUAGAGGUGAAAUUCGUAGAUAUUCGGAAGAACACCAGUGGCGAAGGCGGCUUACUGGACGAUUGUUGACGCUGAGGUACGAAAGCGUGGGGAGCAAACAGGAUUAGAUACCCGGGUAGUCC
This 425-nucleotide ribosomal RNA is filed under the name uncultured bacterium. RNAcentral describes it as "bacterial SSU rRNA". It matches the Rfam family "Bacterial small subunit ribosomal RNA", at positions 354 to 796 of the family's 1533-position model. The record is from RNAcentral.